RNAcentral lists this ribosomal RNA (668 nucleotides) under uncultured fungus. Its description in RNAcentral is "eukaryotic LSU rRNA". It matches the Rfam family "Eukaryotic large subunit ribosomal RNA", at positions 24 to 664 of the family's 3401-position model. Lineage: Eukaryota; Fungi. The record is from RNAcentral.
CCCGCUGAACUUAAGCAUAUCAGUAAGCGGAGGAAAAGAAACUAACUAGGAUUGCCCCAGUAGCGGCGAGUGAACAGGCAAAAGCUCAAAGUGAAAAUCCAUGGCACAAAGUUAUGGAAUUGUAAUCUAGAGAGGCGUUCGGAGGUGAUCGGUCGUGGCAUAAGUUCCUUGGAACAGGACGCCAUAGAGGGUGAAAACCCCGUAGUCGGCUACGACUCGGAACCAACGAACGUUUUCGAAGAGUCGGGUUGUUUGGGAUUGCAGCCCUAAAUUGGAGAUAAACUUCUUCUAAAGCUAAAUAUUUAUGGGAAACCGAUAGCGAACAAGUACUGCGAAGGAAAGGUGAAAAGAACUUUGAAAAGAGGGUUAAAAGACUUGAAAUCGUUGAGAAGGAAGUGGUAGAAGAGAAAUCAUUUGUGUACGAUGUAAGCGUGUGCUUGCCAACUUAGUAACGGUUUAGUACUUCAUAGGCUGUCUGUUACUAAAGUAAUGGCUUGUUGCGUGGUUUUCGUAUGCAAGAGGCAAAAUGAAGUUGGACGUCGGGAGUCGUCUGUUCAGAAGACCCUAGUAUUUAUAUUAGGAGCUGGGCAGUAAAACCGAGGUUUAGCUUGAGGGGCCUGCGGGCGAUUUUGCCAAAGUGGCUUCUACUGUCCCGUCUUGAAACACGG